AUUGAACGCUGGCGGCAUGCCUUACACAUGCAAGUCGAACGGUAACAGGUCUUCGGAUGCUGACGAGUGGCGAACGGGUGAGUAAUACAUCGGAACGUGCCCGAUCGUGGGGGAUAACGAAGCGAAAGCUUUGCUAAUACCGCAUACGAUCUACGGAUGAAAGCAGGGGACCGCAAGGCCUUGCGCGAACGGAGCGGCCGAUGGCAGAUUAGGUAGUUGGUGGGAUAAAAGCUUACCAAGCCGACGAUCUGUAGCUGGUCUGAGAGGACGACCAGCCACACUGGGACUGAGACACGGCCCAGACUCCUACGGGAGGCAGCAGUGGGGAAUUUUGGACAAUGGGCGAAAGCCUGAUCCAGCCAUGCCGCAUGCAGGAUGAAGGCCUUCGGGUUGUAAACUGCUUUUGUACGGAACGAAAAGACUCUGGUUAAUACCUGGGGUCCAUGACGGUACCGUAAGAAUAAGCACCGGCUAACUACGUG
This 482-nucleotide ribosomal RNA is filed under the name uncultured bacterium. RNAcentral's name for it is "partial 16S ribosomal RNA". It matches the Rfam family "Bacterial small subunit ribosomal RNA", at positions 30 to 507 of the family's 1533-position model. The record is from RNAcentral.